RNAcentral lists this ribosomal RNA (305 nucleotides) under uncultured bacterium. Its description in RNAcentral is "bacterial SSU rRNA". It matches the Rfam family "Bacterial small subunit ribosomal RNA", at positions 334 to 636 of the family's 1533-position model. The record is from RNAcentral.
UUUACCUACGGGGGGCAGCAGUGAGGAAUAUUGGUCAAUGGGCGGGAGCCUGAACCAGCCAAGUCGCGUGAGGGAUGACGGCCCUAUGGGUCGUAAACCUCUUUUGCCGGGGAGCAAGGGCGGGGACGUGUCCCGGCCCGGAGAGUACCCGGAGAAAAAGCAUCGGCUAACUCCGUGCCAGCAGCCGCGGUAAUACGGAGGAUGCGAGCGCUAUCCGGAUUUAUUGGGUUUAAAGGGUGCGUAGGCGGGCUUUUAAGUCAGCGGUAAAAAUUCGGGGCUCAACCCCGUCCGGCCGUUGAAACUGG